GAACGAGAAAGUGGAGCAUUCCAUGAGUAAAGUGGGUACGGGUUGAGUAACACGUGGGUAAUCUACCUUUUGGUGGGGAAUAACCNUGGGAAACCGGGGCUAAUACCGCAUAAUCUCGCGAGAGGAAAGGAGCAAUUCGCCGAAAGAGGAGCCCGCGGCUGAUUAGCUAGUUGGUGAGGUAAUGGCUCACCAAGGCAUUGAUCGGUAGCCGGCCUGAGAGGGCACACGGCCACACUGGCACUGAAACACGGGCCAGACUCCUACGGGAGGCAGCAGUGGGGAAUCUUGCACAAUGGGGGCAACCCUGAUGCAGCGACGCCGCGUGAGUGAUGAAGCCCUUCGGGGUGUAAAGCUCUUUCGGCAGGGACGAUAAUGACGGUACCUGAAGAAGAA
This 393-nucleotide ribosomal RNA is filed under the name uncultured soil bacterium. RNAcentral describes it as "bacterial SSU rRNA". It matches the Rfam family "Bacterial small subunit ribosomal RNA", at positions 64 to 489 of the family's 1533-position model. The record is from RNAcentral.